This 402-nucleotide ribosomal RNA is filed under the name uncultured Sphingomonas sp. RNAcentral describes it as "bacterial SSU rRNA". It matches the Rfam family "Bacterial small subunit ribosomal RNA", at positions 355 to 774 of the family's 1533-position model. Lineage: Bacteria; Pseudomonadati; Pseudomonadota; Alphaproteobacteria; Sphingomonadales; Sphingomonadaceae. The record is from RNAcentral.
UGGGGAAUAUUGGACAAUGGGCGAAAGCCUGAUCCAGCAAUGCCGCGUGAGUGAUGAAGGCCUUAGGGUUGUAAAGCUCUUUUACCCGGGAUGAUAAUGACAGUACCGGGAGAAUAAGCUCCGGCUAACUCCGUGCCAGCAGCCGCGGUAAUACGGAGGGAGCUAGCGUUGUUCGGAAUUACUGGGCGUAAAGCGCGCGUAGGCGGCUUUGUAAGUUAGAGGUGAAAGCCCGGGGCUCAACCCCGGAAUUGCCUUUAAGACUGCAUCGCUAGAAUUGUGGAGAGGUAAGUGGAAUUCCGAGUGUAGAGGUGAAAUUCGUAGAUAUUCGGAAGAACACCAGUGGCGAAGGCGACUUACUGGACACAUAUUGACGCUGAGGUGCGAAAGCGUGGGGAGCAAACA